RNAcentral lists this transfer RNA (72 nucleotides) under Camelus bactrianus (Bactrian camel). It matches the Rfam family "tRNA". Rfam says of the family: Transfer RNA (tRNA) molecules are approximately 80 nucleotides in length. The record is from Rfam by way of RNAcentral. Lineage: Eukaryota; Metazoa; Chordata; Mammalia; Artiodactyla; Camelidae. RNAcentral also lists the same sequence under 1 other name.
GUGGGUAUAGCUCAGUGGUAGGGUGGGUGCUUAGCAUGCAUGAUGUCCUGGGUUCAAUCCCCAGUGCCUCUG